UAAGCAUAUCAAUAAGCGGAGGAAAAGAAACCAACAGGGAUUGCCCUAGUAACGGCGAGUGAAGCGGCAACAGCUCAAAUUUGAAAUCUGGCCUCGGCCCGAGUUGUAAUUUGCAGAGGAAGCUUUAGGCGCGGCACCAACUGAGUCCCCUGGAACGGGGCGCCAUAGAGGGUGAGAGCCCCGUAUAGUUGGACGCCUAGCCUGUGUAAAGCUCCUUCGACGAGUCGAGUAGUUUGGGAAUGCUGCUCAAAAUGGGAGGUAAAUUUCUUCUAAAGCUAAAUACCGGCCAGAGACCGAUAGCGCACAAGUAGAGUGAUCGAAAGAUGAAAAGCACUUUGAAAAGAGGGUUAAAUAGCACGUGAAAUUGUUGAAAGGGAAGCGCUUGUGACCAGACUUGCGCCGGGCGGAUCAUCCGGUGUUCUCACCGGUGCACUCCGCCCGGCUCAGGCCAGCAUCGGUUCUCGCGGGGGGAUAAAGGCCUCGGGAACGUAGCUCCUCCGGGAGUGUUAUAGCCCGGGGCGCAAUGCCCUCGCGGGGACCGAGGUUCGCGCAUCUGCAAGGAUGCUGGCGUAAUGGUCAUCAGCGACCCGUCUUGAAACACGGACCAAGGAGUCAAGGUUUUGCGCGAGUGUUUGGGUGUCAAACCCGCACGCGUAAUGAAAGUGAACGUAGGUGAGAGCUUCGGCGCAUCAUCGACCGAUCCUGAUGUUUUCGGAUGGAUUUGAGUAGGAGCGUUAAGCCUUGGACCCGAAAGAUGGUGAACUAUGCUUGGAUAGGGUGAAGCCAGAGGAAACUCUGGUGGAGGCUCGCAGCGGUUCUGACGUGCAAAUCGAUCGUCAAAUCUGAGCAUGGGGGCGAAAGACUAAUCGAACCAUCUAGUAGCUGGUUACCGCCGAAG
RNAcentral lists this ribosomal RNA (898 nucleotides) under Parachaetomium perlucidum. Its description in RNAcentral is "partial large subunit ribosomal RNA". It matches the Rfam family "Eukaryotic large subunit ribosomal RNA", at positions 35 to 966 of the family's 3401-position model. The record is from RNAcentral. Lineage: Eukaryota; Fungi; Ascomycota; Sordariomycetes; Sordariales; Chaetomiaceae.